Sparassis crispa is the source of this 72-nucleotide non-coding RNA. Lineage: Eukaryota; Fungi; Basidiomycota; Agaricomycetes; Polyporales; Sparassidaceae. The record is from the annotation of a RefSeq genome assembly.
ACCUUGGUUGCUUAGUGGUCAAAGUACGGAUUUGAAGCUUCCGAGAUGAGAGUUCAAUUCUCUCCCAGGGUA